This 409-nucleotide ribosomal RNA is filed under the name uncultured soil bacterium. Its description in RNAcentral is "bacterial SSU rRNA". The stretch from base 20 to 372 matches the Rfam family "Bacterial small subunit ribosomal RNA", at positions 45 to 393 of the family's 1533-position model. The record is from RNAcentral.
AGAUUGAACGCUGGCGGCAGGCCUAACACAUGCAAGUCGAGCGGUAGAGAGGUGCUUGCACCUCUUGAGAGCGGCGGACGGGUGAGUAAUGCCUAGGAAUCUGCCUAGUGGUGGGGGGAUAACGUUCGGAAACGGACGCUAAUACCGCAUACGUCCUACGGGAGAAAGCGGGGGACCUUCGGGCCUCGCGCCAUUAGAUGAGCCUAGGUCGGAUUAGCUAGUUGGGUGAGGUAAUGGCUCACCAAGGCGACGAUCCGUAACUGGUCUGAGAGGAUGAUCAGUCACACUGGAACUGAGACACGGUCAGACUCCGUACGGGAGCAGCGAGUGGGGAAUAGUUGGACAAGUGGGACGAAAGCCGUGAUCCGAGCCCGAUCGGCCCGUGGUGGUAGGUAGGAAACGGUAGGUU